RNAcentral lists this long non-coding RNA (1754 nucleotides) under Aquilegia coerulea. RNAcentral's name for it is "long non-coding RNA (ACOE_LNC000148)". The record is from RNAcentral. Lineage: Eukaryota; Viridiplantae; Streptophyta; Magnoliopsida; Ranunculales; Ranunculaceae.
CUUUCUACUGUAAUUAAUAAAUAAUAUACAAACAUUCAUACAAUAAGUCGGGUACCUGUAUCCUAUCAGAGUGUUGUGGGUACGACUGGUACUCGGCCCCAGUCCCAGACAAUAUCUUAGUUCAGUACUUACCGGUGUGAACCUGCACCGUUAGUUCCUGAUUAUCCGGUCGGGUGAUUACCGUUUUGUGCCUCGAGAACACUAACCCUCUUUCAGGGCUCAGGUGGGCCCUCUGACCACGACGCUCCAGAGAGAGAAUCACCUAUCACGGUUGUCAAUCGUUUGACGACUGCAGACUGCUCAGGAUCUUGACACAAAACGGUUAGAAAAUAAUUAAUAAUAUUAAGAAAUUAAUACUAACAACUAACGUGGGUUACUAACAGUAUUUUAUCGUGAGUACAGUUCUAACGGUAAUAUGUUGUUAUAAUAAAAAAAAUUCCAGCGUUACUAAAUUCCUGUUUUGGUGUAGUGAUACCAACAUACAACUGGGAUCCCACAUCCCACAUAAAAAAUCCAUCUCUUUUUCCCAUCCUGGAAAAGAGAUGCAAUAAAACCUUCAAUAGUUUUUCCGUUUAUAAAACCAUUUCGAUAUACAUAUACUGCUUUAAUAAACCCAGUAUAAAACAUGAUAUCUGUAACUAAUCGCUUUAAUAGAAGCUAUAAUUGAUAAACCACGAGUAAUCUAUAUAUACCAAACAAAACCAUGCAUGCAUUUUUUUUAUCAUCAGUAAUAUAUCAGUUAAUUUGCAACAUUUAAAAUAUGGCACAUGAAAAGACAGUGUAAAAGAAAUGUAAGUCCCUACCUCUUGGCUCUUGCUCGCUAGCUCCUUACCUUCAUUUUAAAUCCAAUCAUUCAACUAGGACCGCCGGUAGCCUAAAAAUGCAUCUCUCAUAAAUCGAUAUGAAUUCACGAGAAGUAUCGAGUAUAUACCUAAACUUUCUAAAGUUCAAUUUGGCAUUCCAAUUGUCUAUAAAAUAGCCAAAAACCCCUAAUCAUAGGGAGGGUAUUGCUUCAAAUAAACUACACCUAAUUCAGUUCAUAAGCUACACAAAUGAAAGAAGAACUCAAGUUGGUUAAAAUACACCCAUGUAGAUUAUGGUUACCUUCUAUAAGCCCAACUCCAAUUAGGCAAUUAGGAAAUCAGAUUGUUUCCUGCGUCACUAAGAUGACCACAACAACAACUUUUCCAUUUGCUUUCUACAGCCUUAGUCAUUUCUUCUUUUGAGAAAAAGGCAACUUCCUUUCAACCCUCAUAGCAGCAUCUUUAUCACCUUCUAUUGAACCCAAAACAACUAUAUCACCUGCAUACAUAUUUCACAUCUAAAAUCCUUUUUGUCAUUCCCUGUUCAUAAGCUAGCCCUUAAUUCAGAUCCAUGGGGUACUCAAUCUAUGAAUCUUCUUUUCCAAUUAUUAGUAAACCAAACAUAGAAACCAUCAGUUCAUACUUCAUACCACUAAUUACUAAAGUCCCAAUCAUUGAAUUGAACUUAAACUUACUAAUAUGUUUACUGGAAGAUUUUUGGAAACUGUUAGAACACGUACCGACUCGUCAAUCUAUUGAAAGAAAGAAAUCUCCCAGCUAGUAUCUUCCUUUGGAAAUCAUCUAGUGUGUUGAAUUGUUGAUUGGUUAAAGGUGGAAUUACCUCACAUCAAGUUUAAUGGGUGAGUUAAUGGCCUGUACUUUUAAACUUCUGAUUCUCAUCUCUUUCUCAAUCUAUAUCAGUUGAUGAGAGAAAACUCCAGCAACCAGCUC